Molecule: long non-coding RNA, 646 nt
Organism: Eriocheir sinensis (Chinese mitten crab)
Lineage: Eukaryota; Metazoa; Arthropoda; Malacostraca; Decapoda; Varunidae
Exons: 4
Source: RefSeq, a predicted model, not a curated record
GGACGGUGCCAGAUUGUCGUACUGAACCUCAUAUAUUUAACAACUUCCGACCCAAAAACCGUCUCCUGGGACCCACUAACUAGAGUCAUUCAUAUUUGUCGUUAAAAUAGUUAAUUUACUGAUGUCUCUUGGCAAUAGCUAUGCGUCAAAAACCGGUUAAUACUAUGAUGCCCUGAGUACGAUAACCUGUGGUGGAGGCCUCCCAGCUGACAAGACCGGCGGCCUAACACACACUUCUCCUCCCUCCAGUGUUGGUUGUGAGGGAUUUCAACUCACACCACCACCUGCCGCCACACCACAGACACACCCCAGCCGCUGUACCUGUCCACAGCUGGUAGCCUGAGAGUGACUUAUCCGGGAACUUGUCACGGUGAUUUCCGCGCCCCAGCAUGAACACAGAAGGAUGGCAUUUGGGCAAAAAGUCUGUCUUUCAGUAUUAACGGUGGUGGUGGACGGCAAACAUUGUGGAAGCAGUCCUCUGAGUCGUGGGGACGCCGCCACAACAGACUGGGAUGACACUGCCGCCAGCACCUCCUCCUCUGCCCAGCCACCACCAGAGAGGCUUUACUCCAGAAGGCACUGGGGGUAUACAAGAACAUUGCUGCUGCUGCUGCUGCUGGAUACAUACAGUUAUUAACAAUACAAA